AUUUCUGAAACAGAUGUCUUAAAUUAUUUAGUUACGUUAAAAAAUUAUUUAGUUACGUUUAAAUAUGGCCCUGAUAUGAUUCCCUCAAGCUUUCUUAAAAAUUGUGCAAAAUAUAUAUAUCUGCCCUUAACCAAGCUUUUUAACCUAUCUCUUAAACAAGGUAUUUUUCCGUCAAUGUGGAAAAACUCUUUUAUAUUACCUUUGCAUAAAAGUGGAGUUAGAUCAUCUGUUGAGAACUAUAGGGGGAUAGCAAAAAUGUCAGCUGUACCCAAACUUUUUGAAGCUAUUGUCACUGACCAAAUAACUUUCUUAAUCUCUCCUUUAAUUUCAUUUUCUCAGCAUGGAUUUUGUAAAGGGAAAUCUACAGUAACAAACUUGCUUGAAUUUGUAAACCAUGUUUCAAUGGGUUUUAGGGAUAAUAAGAAUACAGAUGUUAUAUAUACAGACUUUAGUAAAGCAUUCGAUAGAGUAAACCACUCAAUUCUUUUGCAAAAACUGGAUCUUCUUGGUUUUCAACCAAGACUUCUUGAAUGGGUAUCCUCAUAUCUUACUAACAGAAAAAAACAAGUUUUAUUUAAUAAUACAUUAUUCAGGGGUUCCACAGGGUAGUCAUCUCGGCCCGAUUCUGUUCUUGUUGUUCAUCAAUGAUAUACCUUCUGUAAUUAAGUUUUCAGAAAUUUUAUUAUAUGCGGAUGAUGUAAAACUUUUUAAAUCAUAUACUUCUCAUAACGAAAGGACUGAGUUGCAAUCGGAUUUAAAUAAUUUAGUUACUUGGUGUCACAAAAAUGAUAUGCCACUGAAUCUUAAAAAAUGUAAAACGAUGUGCUUUUCCCGUAGAACUGUUGAUCUUUCUUCCUAUGUAGUAAAUAACUUCCGUUUAGAGCAAGUUUUUAGCUUUGUUGAUUUAGGAGUUACUAUGGACCCUAAACUAAAUUUUAAUUCUCAUGUAAAUUCAAUUGUCUUAAAAGCUAAAGGUGCUCUUAGCUUUGUUAAACGUUGGUCUAAAGAAUUUAGUGAUCCAUAUAUUACUAAAAUUCUUUUUACAACAUUGGUAAGGCCUAUAUUGGAGUAUGGUUCUGUGGUAUGGAAUCCUAGCUAUCAAUCCCAUUGUGAUAAGCUUGAGUCCGUUCAAAAACAAUUUUUACUUUUUGCCACUUACAUUGGGAUUCAAGAUUGAAUCUUCCCCCGUAUACUCGUUGUUUAAAACUUAUAAAUCUUCCCACACUCACUAGUCGCAGAGAAAUGCUAGGUAUAAUAUUCCUAGUAAAACUUCUGAAUGGUUUAGUUUGUAGUUCAUUCCUUUUGUCUGAUAUUAAGUUUAGUGUCCCAUUGCGUUCAUCCAGGCAGUUUAGACCAUUAUUUCUAAAAUCUUCUAGAACAAAUUUUGAGUUAAAUGAACCAUUCCGCCGAAUAUGUCAUGAUUUUAAUUCACAUUCCAGCACAUUUGAUCCAUCUGACUCAAUAUUUAGCAUCAAAAAAACUAUUUUGCCUUCUCUUAAUCUAUACUAAUAUUAUAAAGCUGAAGAGUUUGUUUGUUUGUUUGUUUGUUUGAACGCGCUAAUCUCCGAAACUACUGGUUCGAAUUGAAUAAUUCUUUUUGUGUUGGAUAGUCCAUUUAUCGAGGAAGGCUAUAGGCUAUAUAGCAUCAGGAGCGAAGAAACAGUGGUAAAUGUGUAAAAAACGGGGGAAAUUAUUUAUCUUUGAGGGCUUCCGUUCCUUGCGCUGCGAAAGCGGUUCAAGAUUAGAUACGCUAAGGAUCGAGAAUGGUUGGACCAUUCUUGAUGAAAUGUUCAGAGGUUGUUCGUUGUGGAUCUUGGAAGGUUUAGUCGGAAAAUUGUAAAAUUCCAAAAAGUGACUAUUUUCCAUACAUUUUUUUUCCAAUCUAUCUAUAAAAAAACAAUUCGGAAAAGUCGGAAAUUGGCAAGUGGCAACAGAGAAUUCAGAAUUCAAAUGAACGGUGACAUCUACAAUGAAGCAUUGAAAUUCAUAUGCCAUCACCAAAUCGUCAAAUUAAAGAUGUACUGAAUCGUGCAUACGACAGAAUAACUUUGGAACAAGUAUAAAGAAAUGUUCCAUUAUUUAAUGAGCAGCAAAAGACAACCUAUGAUGAAUUGAUUAAGGCUGUCCAUGAUGGAAAUGGUGGACUUUUAUUUCUUGAUACGCACGGUGGAACUGGGAAUCCUGAUUGAUUCUGAUAUCAUUGAUUUUGGCAACAAUACGAUCUCAAAAUGGCAUUACGUUGGCUCUCGCAUCUACUGGAAUUGCAGCAACGCUACUUGAAGUUGGAAGAACGGCACAUUCGACAUUGUAGCUUCAGUUAAACAUGCAAAUCUAUGAAACAUCUAUGAGCAAGCAAAGAUCUGGGCAAAUUCUGGUUAAUACUUUAAAUGGUUUGAAAUCAAUCCGAACAUUAGCCAAAUAACUAUAAGUAACUACGAUUGGUUGAGUGCACGCAGAUUUUUAAAUGCCAAAAAUACCGAUGUCGAUGAUUUAAUCUAUACGACUUAAAGUCAACUUCCAGGAGAUUUGUGUUCAUACACAUCGAUCGAUCAUGUUGAAAAUGAAGACGAAGCUGUGAAUUAUCCAGUGAAAUUUCUAAAUUCUUUGUCAUUAUAAUGCUUUGUCAUUUAUUAUGCUUCGCAAUCUUCAAGCAGCUAUCGAAUAAUGUAAUAGUUGCAAGAAUUAAAGUUAAAGGGACUUUCAAGGGGGCAGAAUGCUUGAUUCCACGAAUUUCUUUGAGUUCCAACGAUUUGCCAUUUCAGUUCAAACGUAUUCAGUUUCCUACGAAACUUGCAUUUGGGAUGACAAUCAACAGGUCUCAAAGACAGUCGCUGGAGGUGUGUGGCAUAAAUUUCAUUCACGGGUUGAAAAACCAUCUUCUCUGUACAUUUACGCACCGGAACAGAAACAAAAAAUGUUGUAUAUUAAGCUGAGUUACAUUGUAAAAAAAAUUUAGAAAAAUCGCAAAUAAAUGUUUUCCAACACUAUACAAAUUCAACUUUCAAAACAAAUAAUUUCACGCAGUGCAACGACAGCGGAGUCAACUACUGAGCAGUUUGUGAACCGGAUGCUUAAAAAUCUCUUGCCUUUCUAGACUCGGCAAAUUCCGCUCGUAAGCGGACUGCGCCCCACGCGUCGGUUGGGCGGGAGGAGGGUAAUCGUUUGGGUUAAUAAUAAUAAUGGAACACAAAUCAUUUACACACCAGAUAUUAAGUUUAAUGUCACUUUUUUACGUGCAAUUAAACCUUUUGGUCAACACAAGCACGGGAAUUGGAACGACAUGGUUUAGGUGCCUUUGAAACCGUUUAUUAUCACGACGUGUGUCAACUGGGUUUUGCCAAUGAGCUAGAGGACAAAGCAGUUUCAGUAUUUUUGGGCUUAUCGGCACUUGGCCGUGCCAUUAGCAGCUACAACACAGAAAUUAAAGUAUAAAUUUAAGUGAAUGUUUGUGCUCAUUGUGCUCGUUGUUGUAUCGCUUUACAAGGACAUAAAUUCACCAAAAUUAGUUCAAUGGAAAUACUAGAGCAAGAGCAUGGAUGUUAAGACUUUAACGGUGCCGUGCAAGAUUUAGAAUUCCUGAAACAUAAGAAACCCUCCUCCCAGAUGAAUCUAGUACUAGUGAAAUUAAUGAAAGGACAGAUCUUAUAAAAACUCCUAAAGAAACCAAAAGAGUCCUCACAUAAUGUGCGCAGCUUACACUUCCAGCCCGCACGGGGUAUCUGACAUUGCGAUAGCAAAAAUUGUUCAACUAUUCAAUUCUUUAUACAUAUGUAUGGUACGAUAAUAUAUGUAUAAAGUAAAUAUAAUAAUAAACACCUAAAUGGCAUGAUAUUUUCAAUAAAUAUGUAAUAUAAUUAAUGAUUUUGUUAUUAAAUUCUCAUUUGGAUUUUGGUACAACUAACCGAAAAUAUCGGGUAUAGUUUCUGGG
Molecule: long non-coding RNA, 3928 nt
Organism: Zeugodacus cucurbitae (melon fly)
Lineage: Eukaryota; Metazoa; Arthropoda; Insecta; Diptera; Tephritidae
Exons: 3
Source: RefSeq, a predicted model, not a curated record